Vespula vulgaris is the source of this 5851-nucleotide long non-coding RNA. RefSeq lists it as uncharacterized. NCBI's taxonomy places the organism in Eukaryota, Metazoa, Arthropoda, Insecta, Hymenoptera, Vespidae. The transcript is spliced from 5 exons. The record is from RefSeq and is a predicted model, not a curated record.
CGGAAUGUACAAGUCAAGUUAGGCUAAAGAAAGUUUUAUUGAAUACUUUUCCUUCUUUCUACGUGUUAUGUAUCUUAAGCCAUUUUAACCAAGGUCGGUUAACUUAAGCUGUUCAUUACCUUUCGGUCGAAACAUGUGUGACAGGUAUGGACAAAAUAUGAAUUAUAAAUAUAACCUGUCUACCUGCUGAUAACUACCCACAAAGGGUACCAUUUUUUCUCGUAAUAUUACCUUUUUUUUCUUUUUGUGUUAUUUAAGUUAACAUUUCUAUUUAUUUAUUAUGCAGUAGUAAAAUAUAUGGUUUCAGAGAAAAUAUUUGGUCAUAUUUGUUUUUUCUCGUAAUAUUAUCUUUUUCUCUUUUACGUACUUUAUCUUAAACGCUUUACGCAGAUUAACCAUAGGUCUAUCGUAUCGAUGUAUAAACUUCUUUGUUUAUUCCCCUUCCCGAUAUAUAACAAUUGAUUUCGUGUAGGUAGUAAAUAGAGUAACAGUAGAUUGUGAACUCACAUUUUUCAGUUUCUCGUACGUCUUUUGACGAAGCGUGGACUCUCGGCGAUCUGGCUAGAUACGGCGUAGUACGUAUUUGUUUUACGAUAAAUGCAUAGAAAAUAAAAAAUAUAAUUGACAUAUAUAAGAACUGAUAUAUAAAUUUGUGACAGAAAGUAAGGUUUUAUCGAAUGUUUUCUUAAAAAUAAUUACGGAAUAAGUAUUUAUGUAUUAUAUUAUUUUAAUACAAAGAAUAUGAAGUGAACUCGUACAGAAGAAACCAUAAUAAAAUAGCGCUAGGAAAAAAUCUUGUAUAUCUACAAGAUCUAUCGCAUGAAAACGAACUUGUAUUUUGAUUUUUAUUAAAAAUAAUAUAUAAUAUAUGUUCACUAAUCAUUAAUUUUGAAAAAAAUAGUCGACAGAUUUAUAUACUUUACAUGCAUUUGUCAUUAAACAAAAUUAUACUGCUGCUGUGUUCUAUCUAGCAUAGAUCAUGGCGAAAUUCAUUUCAAUCAUUGGUAGAAAAAAUAGAUAUAAGAGAUUGAAUGGUAACAUCUUGCUAAAUCAUCAAAUAGGCAGGAAAGAAUAAAUUAGUUCAUUAUUUUCAUUUACAUCGAUAAAAUACAAAAAAAAAAAAAAUCAUCGGAAUCAUUUAAGUCUCGAACCUACAAUUUCUGAAUAACGAAUGUAGUUGCUUGCUAAUGUACUACACAUUGUUUAUAGAAUCUUUAUCUUUUUAGCUUGUAAAACCUAAAAGAAACUAUAAAAUUUUCAAAAAUUGAACAAUAUUUUAGAAACUCAGAUCCAUUGACAUGAACGAUUGGACACGUAUUUCCUUAUUUUUGCUAUAGAAUCGUCUGUCCAAAGCUCGUUAAAAUGAUCGAAUGAAUUAUAGUAGCUUCUCGGUGCGAGUAUCGUGAAAUGCAUUUCUUUGCGUUUGAGAAUGUUUAGAAAAUUUGAGCAUCAACUAUUUACGCACAUAAACAAGCAGACAAUUGCUACUUCGCGGAACACAUACAUCAUUCAAGCGUUGUAUAAAAAUUAGCAGCGGAGAUACAAGCUCUUUCUCCUUUGCUGCAAAUUUUAAAGGGUGCCAUUUUUUCUCGUAAUAUUACCUUUUUUCUUUUUGUAUUAUUUAAAUUAACAUUUCUCUUUAUUUAUUACGUAGUAGUAAAAUAUAUGAUUUCAAAGAAAAUAUUUGAUCAUAUUUGUUUUCUUUCGUAAUAUUAUCUUUUUCUUUUUUACGUACUUUAUCUAAAUACGCUUUACGCAGAUUAAUCAAUAUUUCUUAUUACGCGGUUGAAAGAGCCGAAAAGGAUAUGAGUAGGGAUGAAAUGAAUUUCUCGACUAAUCCCUUUUAAUACGACAUAAGAAAUAAUCCAUAUUGCAUAGAUAAAUUUUAUUGGUCGCUCCCUAUCAAGGAAUAUUUAUUAAGAAGAAAUUAAUUUUUUUUUAUAUUCUAUCAUAAUAAAAAUAUCUCGUGGACAGUAAUAUAUAAAUUUUUCGUCCCAUGUCUCAAACAGCGGCCACAUCUGCUUUUAUUAUUGUUGUUAUUAUUAUUAAACAUCAGCUAACAUCGUUCCUUGAACAAUUACCGUUUCUAUGAACAAUCAUAUUUGUAAAAAAAUCGUUUCGAAUAAUCCUUCUUCAAAAACAUUCUUUAUCUACCAUGAUCCUAUAGAAUGUCAAGCAUUUAAUUUUCGAAGUGUUAUCAUUUAAAACGGUGUACUUUAACAUUUUGCGUUUUUUAUUACAAUUUAUCGGCGGUGACAUGAUGCUGUGAUCGAGAUUAAAGAAGAAGAAGAUAAAAUUUAUAAUGGCAGUGACAACGAACUUUAACGAGACAAAUAUGGCUCUGUUUACAAAGGUUUAUUUGAACGGUGGAACGAGGAAACAGAAUCUUUUUUCAAAGAACUGAAAGGUGGGCAGCUUUAACUAGAGGAUAUAAUCGAUUAAGGUGAGAUAGACUAUCGAGGGGUCGUCUGACGAUGUACGCGGGACAUGAAUCAAAAUGGAAUUUUUCCUUGAAUAAGCGAAUAUUUUAUCGAGGAAUUUUUUUGAAAUCCGACUUUUUAUAUCCUUAAAAGAAGUUGACGUAGAGAGUCAAAAAGAGAAAAUAAAGAUUAAUUAUAAUGUUAACAGUAUUUCUGGAUAUUGAAUUAAUGAUAAUUUGGAUAGCACUUGUUUAGAAAACCAUAGAUACGAUAAUAAUAUUUAUUUCAAGAUCAACGGUGAAAUUAGGAAUGAUAAGAAAAAUCUUAAAGAGAUUAAUGAUGAUUUUAAAAGGAAAAGUUUGUUAAUCGAUGCUAAAGUAGAAAAAAAAGAAGAGAAGAAGAAGGAGAAGAGGAGGAAGAGGACGGAGAAGAAGUUGAAGAAAAGGAGAAAAAAGAAGAAGAAAAAGUUGAAGAAAAGGAGAAAGAAGAAGAAGCGGAAGAAGAAGAAGUUCAAGAUAAGGAUAAAGAUUAUAAGCCUACGCUCGUUUAUGAUUCAAUCGACGAUAGGUUUUAUCUCGACAAUAAUGAUUCCAAAGAUAAAUUCAAUUCUAAUCAAAACGAUGUUGAUGUCUAACUAAUCAUUGAUUUAGCAAAUUUCGAUUUGAAUUCGAAAAUACAUAACAAGAUGUAUCGGAAAAACGAAGCUAAUGGAUGAUCGAGGCCAAUAAUAAUAAUAUAGAAACAAUAGAAAAUUAUAUCGAGAAAAAAAACGAUUAUGAGAAUGGAAGGAUUAAUCAUGGAUUAAAAAAUGAAUUCAGAAAGAAUCAAAAUGAAACUAAGAGAGAUUUAAUUUUCAAGAUAAACCUGCAAGCACGAGGUUCACGUGGCAAAUCAAAAGAUUUACUGUUAAUCAAGAUAGAAUUGUUAGGCCAGGAAUACUUUUAAAUUGUACAUUUACGUCGCCGGGUCAUCAUUAUUCCAUCAAUUUAAAAUAAGUAAUGUCAAAAUUUUCUUUGCGAAAAAUAAUUAAAAAUAAAUAAAUGAAUACACAGAAAGGAAUAAAGACUUCUCUCUCUCAGAAGAAGAUAAACAAAAUUCGAUUGUCAGAGAGUAAAAUGAUCAAAGAAAAAAUGAUCAAAGGAUAUGAAUAUGGAGAAUGAUGGUUAGAGAGAAUCAAAAGGAGAAGAAAGAAUCAGAAAAAGAAAAGAAAGAUAAAGAGAAACAAAUAUUACCCGUAACGGUAUUAUCGAUCCAAAUUUAUUGGUAACAUUGCGAUGAGAUUACCGGGGAUGAUAUGCUCGUCAAGAUGUGAAAAAUUGUGAGGAGAUCUAAAUAGCGCAUGCUCGGAUCAAUGUCUGGAACUCGGAGAGAUGGUGUGAGGGGAAACAGGGAAGAGAAACCGAGAUUUAAUAUUUCAAUCGAUCCUAUUUGUUAAAAGACGCUAAAAGCUAUACAAAGAGUACUAGACAAGUUGCUUAUUUUGAAUCGAAUCGCCGGCAUGAUCAAGAUAGAACCACGUAAUAGAAGCAAAGUAAUCUAUUUAACGAAAAAGGAGAAAGGAAAGAACAAGAAUGCAAUUGUUUAAUGAAAUUUUAAAGAAAUUCCGAAGAAGAAGACGAUCUAGAGGAAAGAUAGGAUUAAAACCGGAACCUGCAACCGUAUUGAGAACUGUCCUUAAUAUUCUCCACUACGUUCUGGGCAAUUUUUAUGGCAAUGAAUUUCACCAUCCGACCGAUGUAAACAAUGUUACAACCAAUGGAAAAAUGGUUACAUAAAAAGGUUGCAUAAAAGUUAACAUAGAAGUAUAUGCGAUUGAUGUGUUCUUUAGUGUUUUUCAUCUAGCACUCCAACUAUUUGUCAUUAAGUAACCAAAGACAUUUUGGGACGGUUUAUCUGGUACAAAAUAAUAAUGUUUUAUUUUCAAUGAAAAAAAAGGAAAGAAAUCAAAUAAAGUGUUAAUUUAAUAUUUCGUUUAAUACACAAGGCAUAGAUUUCGUUGCAAAGCUCAAAUUUUUUGAAUUGGAACAUGCGUUUUCGUUUUAUAAAUACAGACGGAGUAUUUGAAGAAGUACUCGAUCGACAUAUUAAAGAUUAUUAUGAGAAUUCUGUGAAGAAAGAAAAUAUCGACGCCUUGCAAUUCGCUUUUCAUUCCUGCGGAAACAAAAAUUAUAUCGUUUGGUUGUCCGUAAAUCUACCCUACAUUCGAAUAUCAUUUUGCAUAGAACUAAAAAAUUGCAGCACUGCUUACCUUAAUAAUACACACACCAAGGGUUGCUAUAAAAGUGUAUUAAACGUUAUAAAAUUCAAACGUCAUUUAUCUUAUUGAUAAUGUGAAGUGGAGAAGAUUAAGGACAAUUCUCAACAUGAUCGCAGGUUCCGGUUUUAAUCCUAUCUUUCCUCUAGAUCGUCUUCUUCUUCGGAACUUCUUUGCAAUUUGAUUAAACAAUUGCUUCCCUGUUCCUUCUCUUCCUCUUCUUCGUUAAAUAGAUUACUUUUCUUCUUAUUACGUGGUUCUGCCUUGAGGUGAUAUAUCUGGUUACGUUGGCGAUUUGAUUCAGAAUAAACAGCUUAUCCAACUUUUUUGUAGGUUGUACCCGUUUUUAACGAAUAGAAUCGAUUCGAGUAUCGAAUCCUGCUUGUUCGAGGAAAAACUGAUAUAUGAUCCGCGUACAUCGUCAGUUCCAAUAUUUUUUUUGACCUCAAUGGAUUAUAACCUGUAGCUAAAGCUGUCCAUCUUUGAAUCCUUCGAAAAAGGUAUUUUAUCUCUCCGUUCCACCAUUUCAAUAAAGCUUUGUAAGACAGCACCACAUUAAACUCAUCAAAGUUCGUUGUGACUUCCAUUAUAAAUUUUGUCUUCUUCCUCUUUAAUCUCGAUCAUAUAAUGAACAUGAUAUGGAUCUUAGCGAAACACUUAAAAACAUAGACGAUGUUUGAAAAGGAAAUGCCUUGCCAUUAAAUCCAGCAAAUUGAUUUAUAGUAUUCCCAAAAAGCACUGCAAAUAUUUUGGAAGCCGUUGAUAAUUUUAGAUAAUAUAAUUUCGUUGAUUCUAACCGUUACCAUGUAAUUUAAUGUGUGCUCUCUAUACAUAAGGUAUAUAGACAUGUAUUUUUUUUGAAUUUGUACUAAACUAAAGCAUCAUGUCAUUGCUGAUGAAUUUUAACAAAAAACAAAAUGUUAAAAUACAGAUGUUUUAGAUGAUUAUACCCGACAACUUUGAAAAUUAAAUGUUCGUCAUUUCAUUAAAUCAUAGUAAAUGAAGAAUAUGUUUUUGACGAAGGAUUAUUCGAAACGAUUUUCUUAAAAAUGUAAUUGUUCAUAAGAAUAAUAAAUAUUCAAGGAACGAUGUAACUUAUGUUUUAUAAUAAUAAUAAUAAUAAUAAUAGUAAUUUAUAUUAAAAAAUAAAUAAUAAUAAAAGCUUUUACAAAAAGAA